CCUCCUGAUUGGUGGACAGCAGGACAGGCCAAUUAACAUUGCUCUCAAAUACUGUUUCUGGAAUAUUCUGGCCAGUUUGGCUUGGGCCCUUUUGGAGGUAGCCCCGUUGAGGGAGAUUCAAGGCAAAUUGACCAUAGAUGGGUACCAGACGGUCAGAGAGGGAGAGGGCAGUCGAAAAAGAAGACCUUUUCACCACUCUGUGGGCUCGGGAAGACCAAACGAACACCAGGACACUGGAUGACUGUGGAAGCACAGAGAAGUGGAGCUUCGAGGAAGAGAAAUGGCGGUGGGGAGAGGCUGAGGAAACAGCAUGGCAGCUGCCGCCCACCCCCAGAGGGUUUGGGGAAGGCCCUCCCUCUCUGCUCCUCUGCAGUUUUGGCCAGAUGAGGAGGUUUGGGGGAGGACAAAGAAGGUUUGGGGUCCUGAGGGUGGGAGGAGGUGAGCCCCUUCGCAGCUGUAUGUGUGUGGAAAGAGGGCAGUGGGCACUGGACCCCAGUUGGCUGCCUGGCUGGACACUAAAGGCUUUGGGAAGAGCCACUUUGGCUGUCAGCCCAGGUUAAACUCGUGGACUGUCUCACUGUGUGACAAGGCCCUAACAAGGAAGCUGGGUAACCAUUUUCUGGGAAAGACACCAAAAGGGAAGGGGCUUCUGGGGACAGGGCAGGAGAAUGCCCUGGGGGUCUAGGACCCUCCUCCUUCCUCCAGAAGACUGCUUCCCCCCCUUUGACAGUGGGGAAGCCAUUUGGAGGUCUGGAGCGGGCACCUCCCCCAAACCAAAGCCCCUUAAGAACAAAGGGCAGGUCGCCAUGCCAACCAGCAGGGGGACACAGACCUCACUCACUAAGCAGAAGGCUAGCCUAGUAUCUGAAGAAGCCACCCAAGGAGCCCCCUAGGCCUAGAAGAACACCAAGAUAACCUGGGUGUGCACAACAGGGAAUUCCACAUUUGGGUAUGACAUUCCAGGGUCCUAAUAAUAGCUCUGACAGGUGCUAGCUGGCACCACACUGAAACUAAACGGACUUCAUUAGCUGAAGUACAUGUAUCAAGGGCCUACCAUGUGCAAGGUACCUCAGUUUCCUUAUUUAUCUAAUGGCAGGACUGAACUGACCUUCCGAUCAUGACCAAAGAGCGGUUCAGAGCUCUGUUGCAAGCCUUAGAGGAUCACAGAAUGCCGAAGUCGAAAGAGACAGCUGGGACCACUGAGGCCACCAGAACACGAAGGCCAUCGAACUCAACAGCUGAAUACAGACUCGCCAUAGCUUCUAAAUCUAAAUUCUUUCUAAUGCUACAGUAAGCGGCCCACUACUAGAGUGAGCACUUCCAGGCGCCAAGUGGGAGCCAGAGAUGGUUCAGGGAGUGUGCCUAUGAAGCCUUUCCAAGAGCAAGGACUCCGUUGGGCCGGAAAAGCCGAAUGAAAAGUGGGCUUGCUCGGAAGGAGAAACAGACCUGGGAGAGAGGUCCGAAGUGUCCCCUUCGGUUGAUGCUAUUCCCACGGCCAGUCUCGCAAAGAGAAGCAUUUGUUCAGUGGUCCAAAGGAGGGAGGGAGGGCAGGGCUCUUCGUUCUAUCAAUGUUCAGUGGCAUGACCAAGGGCUCUGGGGAAGGGACGAGGCAGCACCUUGGAGAGGUGGGGGGACAUGGGUGCGGAAUGUUACAGUCUAAGCUGUCAGACCGUGGGGCGGCCGGGCUGGCGGGCUGGCGGGCUGGCGGAAGUUUUUCGUCAGUAGUCAGCAUCAAUACUUCACUGCGGCGGAGAAGGGUGCUAAAACCUCAGAGAAGGCGAGAAGCGGGCAAGUGGGUCCCCAGACGCUGCAGCGCGCGCCUUUGCUUUGCUUCGUUCUCGGAAGCAAGGUCCAUACUUGUCCUAGACAGACCGCUUGCCGGCUCUGGAUGAAGCAAAUGGGGUCAUGGAGAGUCGGACACUACUGAACAACGGUUGGGGAACCCAGGGCAGACAGGCUGCCACAGAUACUGGGGAGACAAAGAACAGCGGCAUGAAGACUAGAAGCCAGAAAUGGCUUCCCCUCUCAAUCCUGUCACAGACCAGAACCUCAAACAUCAAAAGGAGCAGGUGGAUCCCCACGGCA
Molecule: non-coding RNA, 2085 nt
Organism: Monodelphis domestica (gray short-tailed opossum)
Lineage: Eukaryota; Metazoa; Chordata; Mammalia; Didelphimorphia; Didelphidae
Source: RefSeq, a predicted model, not a curated record